Molecule: long non-coding RNA, 249 nt
Organism: Daphnia carinata
Lineage: Eukaryota; Metazoa; Arthropoda; Branchiopoda; Diplostraca; Daphniidae
Exons: 3
Source: RefSeq, a predicted model, not a curated record
GGAGAACAACGCGUGGCUGGAGGAUCAAUUGAAAAAUGGAUAAGAAAAUAAAACAAAAAAAUGAUCAAAUUAUGAAGCUGCAGGCCCAAUUAUUGGAACAACACAAAAAAAUAAAUAACAGCAAAGCUAAGGAUGCUCAAAUUUUGAGUCUACAUGCUCAGUUAUUGGAAAAUAAAAAAAUUAGAAUGGGACACUUUCCAAACAGUGAAGGAGGUUUUUCCAAACUCAUCCCUAACUGAAUGUGAGCAU